AGCGGAAACGACAACAUUGACUCUUCGGAUGAUUUGUUGGGCGUCGAGCGGCGGACGGGUGAGUAAUGCCUAGGAAGUUGCCCGGUAGAGGGGGAUAACCAUUGGAAACGAUGGCUAAUACCGCAUGAUCUCUACGGAGCAAAGCAGGGGACCUUCGGGCCUUGUGCUACCGGAUACGCCUAGGUGGGAUUAGCUAGUUGGUGAGGUAAUGGCUCACCAAGGCGACGAUCCCUAGCUGGUCUGAGAGGAUGAUCAGCCACACUGGAACUGAGACACGGUCCAGACUCCUACGGGAGGCAGCAGUGGGGAAUAUUGCACAAUGGGCGAAAGCCUGAUGCAGCCAUGCCGCGUGUAUGAAGAAGCCUUCGGGUUGUAAAGUACUUUCAGUUGUGAGGAAGGGGGUAAGUUUAAUACGCUUAUCUCUUGACGUUAG
This 433-nucleotide ribosomal RNA is filed under the name Vibrio sp. con15. RNAcentral describes it as "bacterial SSU rRNA". It matches the Rfam family "Bacterial small subunit ribosomal RNA", at positions 65 to 478 of the family's 1533-position model. Lineage: Bacteria; Pseudomonadati; Pseudomonadota; Gammaproteobacteria; Vibrionales; Vibrionaceae. The record is from RNAcentral.